GACGAACGCUGGCGGCGUGCUUAACACAUGCAAGUCGAACGAAGAGCGAUGGAAGCUUGCUUCUAUCAAUCUUAGUGGCGAACGGGUGAGUAACGCGUAAUCAACCUGCCCUUCAGAGGGGGACAACAGUUGGAAACGACUGCUAAUACCGCAUACGAUCUAAUCUCGGCAUCGAGGAUAGAUGAAAGGUGGCCUCUACAUGUAAACUAUCACUGAAGGAGGGGAUUGCGUCUGAUUAGCUAGUUGGAGGGGUAACGGCCCACCAAGGCGAUGAUCAGUAGCCGGUCUGAGAGGAUGAACGGCCACAUUGGGACUGAGACACGGCCCAGACUCCUACGGGAGGCAGCAGUGGGGAAUCUUCCGCAAUGGACGAAAGUCUGACGGAGCAACGCCGCGUGAGUGAUGACGGCCUUCGGGUUGUAAAGCUCUGUUAAUCGGGACGAAAGGCCUUCUUGCGAAUAGUGAGAAGGAUUGACGGUACCGGAAGAGAAAGCCACGGCUAACUACGUG
This 510-nucleotide ribosomal RNA is filed under the name uncultured bacterium. Its description in RNAcentral is "partial 16S ribosomal RNA". It matches the Rfam family "Bacterial small subunit ribosomal RNA", at positions 28 to 507 of the family's 1533-position model. The record is from RNAcentral.